Long non-coding RNA from Daphnia pulicaria, 1030 nucleotides. RefSeq lists it as uncharacterized. The transcript has 2 exons. Lineage: Eukaryota; Metazoa; Arthropoda; Branchiopoda; Diplostraca; Daphniidae. The record is from RefSeq and is a predicted model, not a curated record.
GAAAAUUUAUUUUUACUCUCAGCGAGUCAGCGCCCUAUUUUUCGUUUUCAAGUCAACUCAUCAACUGAAAUGCAAACUUUUGAACCAGUAAUUUCCGAAAUUAUCCAAUUCGCCUCGAAGGUUAUGGCCUAAUGGUAUAAUGGUAAUAUUCAGGAUGAUUUUUAUUCUCAACUCAACGAUUUGAUUGUAAAAAUAAAAUGUUGUGAUUUCCCACCAUCUGUGAUUGGCGCUAGUUGAUGUCGCCCCAUUUCCCUUUGAUAGCUACAUACCGCGCGAUUUACGUGGAAAAGUACAAAUUAAAAUGCGGAUCUUGGAGCACGUUUACCGCUUACGGGUUUGUAUCAUAACGGAAUGUUGUGUCAAACGUGCCUGAAAAAUGUAUCAGACAUUCAGUUGCGUAAACCGGUGGAAGAACCUACCGUCUGACCACACCGCAACCUGAAAAGUCGGAAGUAAAAAGAGAAGUCGGUGUUGGUUGAAGGGAAUGAACAGAGAGACAGAUAAUGACAGGGGAGGAGAGAGAGAGUCGAAUAGAAAGUGGGUGGGGUCGUGUGUGUAGCCGUUGUGCUCGUUUCGUAAAAGAGAGUACCGUUCGCCCUCUUUCCUCUCCGUGACCCAGCCCAUCCGCCUGUUUUAUUUCUUUUUCUACCAGGGACGACAUGUCGGAAACAGCUUGGUUGGUCUGUGUAACACACCCUUCGGCCGCCCUUUCACAUUUCUACCUCCCCCUCAGAGGUCGGCGAUAGAAAGAAACUUCCGCCAACAGGCGCCCUAUCGCCAUCGGCAAGAAAAAGCAACACGCCUUCCUAAGAAAUGGUCAUAUUUUCGAAACGGUUCCAGUGCACGAAACAAAACACCUACACAGUUUUUCUACUCCUUAGAGCUACCUUUUAUUCUGUUGUCAACAGAAGAUAUUGGAAUGUUCAUUCAGGACGCAUCACAUUUUUUUUUAUAUUUAUGUAAUGCAUCUCCAAUGUCACGAACCGCUAUAUGCGACGAAUAAAAAAUAAAAAAACAACCGGGUCACACA